RNAcentral lists this ribosomal RNA (1004 nucleotides) under Snodgrassella alvi. RNAcentral's name for it is "bacterial SSU rRNA". It matches the Rfam family "Bacterial small subunit ribosomal RNA", at positions 498 to 1503 of the family's 1533-position model. Lineage: Bacteria; Pseudomonadati; Pseudomonadota; Betaproteobacteria; Neisseriales; Neisseriaceae. The record is from RNAcentral.
GCCCUUCGUGCCAGCAGCCGCGGUAAUACGUAGGGUGCGAGCGUUAAUCGGAAUUACUGGGCGUAAAGCGAGCGCAGACGGUUAAUUAAGUCAGAUGUGAAAUCCCCGAGCUCAACUUGGGACGUGCAUUUGAAACUGGUUAACUAGAGUGUGUCAGAGGGAGGUAGAAUUCCACGUGUAGCAGUGAAAUGCGUAGAGAUGUGGAGGAAUACCGAUGGCGAAGGCAGCCUCCUGGGAUAACACUGACGUUCAUGCUCGAAAGCGUGGGUAGCAAACAGGAUUAGAUACCCUGGUAGUCCACGCCCUAAACGAUGACAAUUAGCUGUUGGGACACUAGAUGUCUUAGUAGCGAAGCUAACGCGUGAAAUUGUCCGCCUGGGGAGUACGGUCGCAAGAUUAAAACUCAAAGGAAUUGACGGGGACCCGCACAAGCGGUGGAUGAUGUGGAUUAAUUCGAUGCAACGCGAAGAACCUUACCUGGUCUUGACAUGUACGGAAUCUCUUAGAGAUAGGAGAGUGCCUUCGGGAACCGUAACACAGGUGCUGCAUGGCUGUCGUCAGCUCGUGUCGUGAGAUGUUGGGUUAAGUCCCGCAACGAGCGCAACCCUUGUCAUUAGUUGCCAUCAUUAAGUUGGGCACUCUAAUGAGACUGCCGGUGACAAACCGGAGGAAGGUGGGGAUGACGUCAAGUCCUCAUGGCCCUUAUGACCAGGGCUUCACACGUCAUACAAUGGUCGGUACAGAGGGUAGCGAAGCCGCGAGGUGAAGCCAAUCUCAGAAAGCCGAUCGUAGUCCGGAUUGCACUCUGCAACUCGAGUGCAUGAAGUCGGAAUCGCUAGUAAUCGCAGGUCAGCAUACUGCGGUGAAUACGUUCCCGGGUCUUGUACACACCGCCCGUCACACCAUGGGAGUGGGGGAUACCAGAAUUGGGUAGACUAACCGCAAGGAGGUCGCUUAACACGGUAUGCUUCAUGACUGGGGUGAAGUCGUAACAAGGGCGAAUU